AUACGGAGGGUCCGAGCGUUAUCCGGAUUUAUUGGGUUUAAAGGGUGCGUAGGCGGUUUUAUAAGUCAGCGGUGAAAUUUUCCGGCUCAACCGGGAUACUGCCGUUGAUACUGUAAGGCUAGGAUAUGGUUGCUGUGGGUGGAAUGUGUGGUGUAGCGGUGAAAUGCUUAGAUAUCACAAAGAACUCCGAUUGCGCAGGCAGCUCACUGGGCUACAACUGACGCUGAGGCACGAAGGUGCGGGGAUC
Molecule: ribosomal RNA, 247 nt
Filed under: uncultured bacterium
Lineage: Bacteria
Description: partial 16S ribosomal RNA
Rfam family: Bacterial small subunit ribosomal RNA
Source: RNAcentral